GCCAGUGUAAACUGUGAGGAAGGUGGGGAUGACGUCAAAUCAUCACGGCCCUUACGCCUUGGGCUACACACGUGCUACAAUGGCCGGUACAGAGAGCAGCCACUGGGUGACCAGGAGCGAAUCUACAAAACCGGUCACAGUUCGGAUCGGAGUCUGCAACUCGACUCCGUGAAGCUGGAAUCUCUAGUAAUCGGAUAUCAGCCAUGAUCCGGUGAAUACGUUCCCGGGCCUUGUACACACCGCCCGUCAAGCCAUGGAAGCUGGGGGUGCCUGAAGUCGGUGACCGCAAGGAGCUGCCUAGGGUAAAACUGGUAACUAGGGCUAAGUCG
Molecule: ribosomal RNA, 329 nt
Filed under: uncultured bacterium
Lineage: Bacteria
Description: bacterial SSU rRNA
Rfam family: Bacterial small subunit ribosomal RNA
Source: RNAcentral